GUAAACAUCGGAUACCAUGUUAAUUUUUUUUUUGACAAAAAAAUAGCAAGCUACCUGUUUCAUUUAUAAAGAGAUAUGAACUUGGUAACAUAAGUGAGGCAGCCAAGGCCUCAAGAAAGGAGAAAACAAAACAUCAAAAAUAGAGAGAGAGAGAGAGAGAGAGAGAGAGAGAGAGAGAGAAGAAGGGAGAGGAGGGUUAAGCUACAAGUAUAUAAUUAGCAGCAUUGUUCUAACCAAUCCUGCCUGAAUGAAUGUAUACUACGGUGAAGAACUUGAGUUGGGCUUGAGCCUCGUCCCCUAAAGACAACACUAUUUCUUUCUAGCCAGAUUGCCCACAAUGUAGUUGAAAAUUUGGUGAGUUCAUUUAUUCGACUGCGGUUGUCAAUCUUGUUACAACAUUUCUCCCAAAAC
RNAcentral lists this long non-coding RNA (411 nucleotides) under Ananas comosus (pineapple). RNAcentral's name for it is "long non-coding RNA (ACOM_LNC012911)". Lineage: Eukaryota; Viridiplantae; Streptophyta; Magnoliopsida; Poales; Bromeliaceae. The record is from RNAcentral.